AUUGAACGCUGGCGGCAGGCCUAACACAUGCAAGUCGAACGGUAACAGGAAGAAGCUUGCUUCUUUGCUGACGAGUGGCGGACGGGUGAGUAAUGUCUGGGAAACUGCCUGAUGGAGGGGGAUAACUACUGGAAACGGUAGCUAAUACCGCAUAACGUCGCAAGACCAAAGAGGGGGACCUUCGGGCCUCUUGCCAUCGGAUGUGCCCAGAUGGGAUUAGCUAGUAGGUGGGGUAACGGCUCACCUAGGCGAGGAGCCCUAGCUGGUCUGAGAGGAGGACCAGCCACCCGGGAACGUAGACACGGUCCAGACGCCUACGGGAGGCAGCAGUGGGGAAUAUUGCACAAUGGGCGCAAGCCUUAUGCAGCCAUGCCGCGCGUAAGAAGAAGGCCUUCGGGUUGUAAAGUACUUUCAGCGGUGAGGAAGGGAGUAAAGUUAAUACCUUUGCUGAUUGACGUUACCCGCAGAAGAAGCACCGGCUAACUCCGUG
Molecule: ribosomal RNA, 490 nt
Filed under: uncultured bacterium
Lineage: Bacteria
Description: partial 16S ribosomal RNA
Rfam family: Bacterial small subunit ribosomal RNA
Source: RNAcentral